This 468-nucleotide ribosomal RNA is filed under the name uncultured bacterium. RNAcentral's name for it is "partial 16S ribosomal RNA". It matches the Rfam family "Bacterial small subunit ribosomal RNA", at positions 28 to 507 of the family's 1533-position model. The record is from RNAcentral.
GACGGACGCUGGCGGCGUGCUUAACACAUGCAAGUCGAACGGAAAGGCCCUGCUUUUGUGGGGUGCUCGAGUGGCGAACGGGUGAGUAACACGUGAGUAACCUGCCCUUGACUUUGGGAUAACUUCAGGAAACUGGGGCUAAUACCGGAUAGGAGCUCCUGCUGCAUGGUGGGGGUUGGAAAGUUUCGGCGGUUGGGGAUGGACUCGCGGCUUAUCAGCUUGUUGGUGGGGUAGUGGCUUACCAAGGCUUUGACGGGUAGCCGGCCUGAGAGGGUGACCGGCCACAUUGGGACUGAGAUACGGCCCAGACUCCUACGGGAGGCAGCAGUGGGGAAUAUUGCACAAUGGGCGGAAGCCUGAUGCAGCAACGCCGCGUGCGGGAUGACGGCCUUCGGGUUGUAAACCGCUUUCACCUGUGACGAAGCGUGAGUGACGGUAAUGGGUAAAGAAGCACCGGCUAACUACGUG